RNAcentral lists this ribosomal RNA (465 nucleotides) under uncultured Scutellospora. Its description in RNAcentral is "SSU rRNA". It matches the Rfam family "Eukaryotic small subunit ribosomal RNA", at positions 569 to 1040 of the family's 1831-position model. The record is from RNAcentral. Lineage: Eukaryota; Fungi; Glomeromycota; Glomeromycetes; Diversisporales; Gigasporaceae.
AGCAGCCGCGGUAAUUCCAGCUCCAAUAGCGUAUAUUAAAGUUGUUGCAGUUAAAAAGCUCGUAGUUGAAUUUCGGGAUUCUACCGUUGGUCGGGCUAACAAGUCUGUACUGGUGUGUAGAAUUUCUACCUUCUGGGGAACUAUCAUGUUAUUAAUUUAGCGUGGUGGGAAACCAGGACCUUUACCUUGAAAAAAUUAGAGUGUUCAAAGCAGGCUUACGUCUGAAUACAUUAGCAUGGAAUAAUAGAAUAGGACGGUGGUCCUGUUUUGUUGGUUUCUGAAUCACCGUAAUGAUUAAUAGGGAUAGUUGGGGGCAUUAGUAUUCAAUUGUCAGAGGUGAAAUUCUUGGAUUUAUUGAAGACUAACUUCUGCGAAAGCAUUUGCCAAGGAUGUUUCAUUAAUCAAGAACGAAAGUUAGGGAUACGAAGACGAUCAGAUACCGUCGUAGUCUUAACCAUAAACUAU